RNAcentral lists this long non-coding RNA (581 nucleotides) under Gallus gallus (chicken). The record is from RNAcentral. Lineage: Eukaryota; Metazoa; Chordata; Aves; Galliformes; Phasianidae.
GUCCUCGUCGUCCUCGCAAAUGCGGACUCAGAGCAAAGCAGCUCCCUUUGGCACGGGGAGGAGCGCCGCUAACUCGACCACGCUCGCUCCCGUGAGGCGGCUCGCUUGCCGGCGAUCUCCGACGGACGGCUCGCUAGGAGACGCCUGCAGUUCCCGUUCUGGCAGCGGCUCGGUGCAAGCGCAGGCCCAAGGGAGAUGUCAGCUGCGGAGACGUGCCCUUCCUCCACAGCACGGGAAAGCAAGUCGGGGAGAAGAGCUGGAGGCAGCUGAACCUAUAUGAGAAAAUGGAACUGAGAGACCCUGCGAAGGAGGAGAUCCCUGAGAAAAAGCGCAACACCAGCCAGAAGCUCAGCCUCGGAUACCUGCACAUGGCCGUCAGACAGAAGACGGGCAUGAAGACGAGAGCAGGGUCAGACCCUAAACAACAGCAAGGCCACCUUGGCUAUGGAGCAGACAGUGGACCUGAAAUUGCAACAAGAAACAGGCUGCUCUUCAUUAACAUCCGUCGUUGCCGUCAUCCUCCCUACGGCUUCUCCUGUAAGAAGAUGUGGAAGAAGAGAAACUGAGCACAAAGCUGCCAC